RNAcentral lists this ribosomal RNA (253 nucleotides) under uncultured bacterium. RNAcentral's name for it is "partial 16S ribosomal RNA". It matches the Rfam family "Bacterial small subunit ribosomal RNA", at positions 524 to 776 of the family's 1533-position model. The record is from RNAcentral.
GACGAACUGUCCUAACGUUGUUCGGAAUCACUGGGCUUAAAGGGCGCGUAGGCGGUCGACCAAGUCAGGGGUGAAAUCCUGCAGCUUAACUGUAGAAGUGCCUUUGAUACUGGUCGUCUCGAGGGAGGUAGGGGUGUGCGGAACUUCCAGUGGAGCGGUGAAAUGCGUUGAUAUUGGAAGGAACGCCGGAGGCGAAAGCGGCGCACUGGACCUCUUCUGACGCUGAGGCGCGAAAGCUAGGGGAGCGAACAGG